GUGUUCUUAGAAUGCAGAGAUGGUUGGUCGGCAUCUCCCCAAACAGGGACAGGAGCAGCCUUAGGUUUACUUGUCAACAACCCAUCUGGUUAUGGCCACCCACUGCCCUUU
Molecule: small nuclear RNA, 111 nt
Organism: Rosa chinensis
Lineage: Eukaryota; Viridiplantae; Streptophyta; Magnoliopsida; Rosales; Rosaceae
Source: RefSeq, a predicted model, not a curated record